CAUUCACGGAGAGUUUGAUCCUGGCUCAGGACGAACGCUGGCGGCGUGCUUAACACAUGCAAGUCGAACGAUGAAGCCCUUCGGGGUGGAUUAGUGGCGAACGGGUGAGUAACACGUGGGCAAUCUGCCCUGCACUCUGGGACAAGCCCUGGAAACGGGGUCUAAUACCGGAUACGAGCCGGGGAGGCAUCUCCC
This 195-nucleotide ribosomal RNA is filed under the name Streptomyces sp. SID2888. Its description in RNAcentral is "partial 16S ribosomal RNA". It matches the Rfam family "Bacterial small subunit ribosomal RNA", at positions 1 to 196 of the family's 1533-position model. The record is from RNAcentral. Lineage: Bacteria; Bacillati; Actinomycetota; Actinomycetes; Kitasatosporales; Streptomycetaceae.